This 535-nucleotide unclassified non-coding RNA is filed under the name Hevea brasiliensis (rubber tree). The record is from RNAcentral. Lineage: Eukaryota; Viridiplantae; Streptophyta; Magnoliopsida; Malpighiales; Euphorbiaceae.
UUGCUUCCCAUAAUUGCUUGAUUAUGGUCAAAUUCUGGUUGAUUAAGUUCUUGUUCUUGCUUGCAAAGAAAAGCGUUAUAGCUAUGAAAAUCAAAGCUAAUAAAAGAUUCUCUGAUGUGAGUAUUUCUUCUCUUCUCAAAUAAAAGAAGAAAAAGAAGCAGAGCGACAAGACUGUGAAGAAAAUAAACGAAACCAUCGUGAGAACAGGCGCGAACCGAGCCGAACCGGUCCUUCUCGGAGUCGAACCUGACCGAUGCGGCUUUCUUUUCUCUUCUCUUAUUUUCUCUUCUAAUUCUUGUUUUUGUUGUUGCUGUUGUAGCUGCUUCUGCUCCGGUUUGAUAAGGUCCUCCUCUGCUACAGAAGUUAGGCUGUGGAUGGACGAUCGGACAGUGGGGAGAGAACGGAGAAGUGACGAAUGGUUUCUCGUGAGCUUCGCUUGGCUUUUUUGGCCGUCCAUUUCUGGGUGUGGGUUCCAAGGAGAUCCAAUCUCCACCGUCUAAAAAUCCCCCUCCUUAAAUCUCCUAGUUGUCCGUCC